Molecule: ribosomal RNA, 476 nt
Filed under: uncultured bacterium
Lineage: Bacteria
Description: bacterial SSU rRNA
Rfam family: Bacterial small subunit ribosomal RNA
Source: RNAcentral
GAUGAACGCUGGCGGCGUGCCUCAAACAUGCAAGUCGAGCGGGGCUAUGUAAUAUCGCAAGGUAGAACAUAGCCUAGCGGCGAACGGGUGAGUAACACGUGGGUAACCUGCCUGGAAGACAGGGAUAACGAUUCGAAAGGGUCGCUAAUACCUGAUAAUAUCCUUUCAUCGCAUGGUGAUAGGAAGAAAGGGGGAAACCCGCUUUCAGAUGGGCCCGCGUCCCAUCAGCUAGUUGGUAAGGUAAAGGCUUACCAAGGCGACGACGGGUAGCCGGUCUGAGAGGAUGUACGGCCACACUGGGACUGAGAUACGGCCCAGACUCCUACGGGAGGCAGCAGUUGGGAAUCUUAGGCAAUGGACGAAAGUCUGACCUAGCGACGCCGCGUGAGGGAAGAAGGCCUUCGGGUUGUAAACCUCUGUCAUGGGGGAAGAAGUAAGUGACGGUACCCCAAGAGGAAGCCCCUGCUAACUACGUG